UACCAGCACCCCGAGUGGUCGGGACGUUUAUUGGGCCUAAAGCAUCCGUAGCCGGUUCUACAAGUCUUCCGUUAAAUCCAACUGCUUAACAGGUGGGCUGCGGAAGAUACUAUAGAGCUAGGAGGCGGGAGAGGCAAGCGGUACUCGAUGGGUAGGGGUAAAAUCCGUUGAUCCGGUGAAGACCACCAGUGGCGAAGGCGGCUUGCCAGAACGCGCUCGACGGUGAGGGAUGAAAGCUGGGGGAGCAAACCGG
This 253-nucleotide ribosomal RNA is filed under the name uncultured bacterium. RNAcentral's name for it is "partial 16S ribosomal RNA". It matches the Rfam family "Archaeal small subunit ribosomal RNA", at positions 474 to 727 of the family's 1478-position model. The record is from RNAcentral.